This is a non-coding RNA of Cinara cedri, 478 nucleotides long. NCBI's taxonomy places the organism in Eukaryota, Metazoa, Arthropoda, Insecta, Hemiptera, Aphididae. The record is from the annotation of a GenBank genome assembly.
AUAAAAUUGCACGCGAGUCUGAGCGGAUCAGGACGACCCAAAAGAAAUAUGCGUGUGAAAAAAUGAUACGAAUUCCCCAAUCUAGUUGUAUAUUGUGUAUAAUACCCAAACUGCAGUCAUAGCUGUAUAACAUAUAAUAGUACCUGUUUACCUAGUCAAAUUCUAUUAAAAUAUACUUACAUAAACGCGCCUAGACGUGAUUUCAAUAACAUCAAAACGAAUAAUGAAUAAUGUUUAAGGUUAUUUUUUCCUAAAUAUUUGUAUAAUAAUAGUAUAUCUACUUUUUGCUUUUAACGUAAAAAACACGAAAAAAAAAACAAACAAACAAACAAACACCUCAAGUUCAGUGAUGUAAUCUUUUUGACAAUGACUGCCGGGAUUAAAACGCACUCGGAGAGGGUGAUAUUCGAUAUAUAAAAUACUUUGUAAUCUCGUCGUUUCUCAACAUUGCAUUCUUUGUUUUACAUUUAAUUUUUAA